AAGCUCGUAGUUGGAUUUGUGGUGCUGCCUGCAGUCCAAUUAGCUUUGGUGCUAGCGGGUGGUGCCAUCUUUGGGUGGAACCUGUAGGGCAUUAGCUUGUUUUGCAGGGGAGAUCCAUCGUUUACUGUGAAAAAAUUAGAGUGUUCAAAGCAGGCUUACGCCAUUGAAUAUACUAGCAUGGAAUAAUGAAAUAGGACUUUGGUACUAUUUUGUUGGUUUGCGCGCCAAAGUAAUGAUUAAUAGGGACAGUUGGGGGUAUUCGUAUUCCAUAGUCAGAGGUGAAAUUCUUGGAUUUUUGGAAGACGAACUACUGCGAAAGCAUUUACCAAGGAUGUUUUCAUUAAUCAAGAACGAAAGUUAGGGGAUCGAAGAUGAUUAGAUACCAUUCGUAGUCUUA
RNAcentral lists this ribosomal RNA (397 nucleotides) under Pinnularia minigibba. Its description in RNAcentral is "SSU rRNA". It matches the Rfam family "Eukaryotic small subunit ribosomal RNA", at positions 624 to 1028 of the family's 1831-position model. Lineage: Eukaryota; Bacillariophyta; Bacillariophyceae; Sellaphorales; Pinnulariaceae. The record is from RNAcentral.